RNAcentral lists this long non-coding RNA (1230 nucleotides) under Cricetulus griseus (Chinese hamster). RNAcentral describes it as "lncRNA (ENSCGRG00015036796.1)". Lineage: Eukaryota; Metazoa; Chordata; Mammalia; Rodentia; Cricetidae. The record is from RNAcentral.
AGUGCUUCUUGCCUCUGAUUGAAGGGCUGUGUGCAUUUUAAUUGGGCAUGUAGCCAAUAAGAAGAUAGAUCUCAAUGCCAGCACAGUGGGAAAAUCCUGAUGUUCUCUUUGAAGUCUCCAUCAGAACUGCUGAUUCAUUUCUCCAUCCCAACUAAAAGCAUGCAGCCAGAGAAGCAGCGAAAUUGAAAGCAGUCGACAUGAACAAACAUAAUUUGUCCUGGACAAAGCUCCAAUAAUCAAAACGAAAAAAAAUAAACUGGUGGCAGAUGAUGUCGCACUUUAGGACUGAGGCCAGGCUACGACAUUAUUAAAGACUGCAGCUUCAAAAGCAGGAUCCUACUUCUUCACAAAAGACAGGAACAGUUGGACUGUGAACUGUAAUGCUGGGAAUAGAGAAACCUCUGCCAUUGCUGAUUCCUGUAGAUGUCAUAAGCAGUCUAGUUCUACUCAGUCGGUGUACAGUAGGGCUCUGGUCACACCCAGGAUCUGAGUACUGAAAUAUAGCCAGAGCCUGACUGGUGAGAAGCUACACUGUUGAAGUAUUAUUAGCACUCCUUGCCCCUGAUUAAACUGAGCAUGGAUUAAGAACUAAGAAGCAGAGUGGUCUGAAUUCCAGGAAUGGUAGCAAAUCCUGUCUAUCUCUUAGAUCUGUCCAUCAGAACUGUUGAUUCAUUCUUCCUUCCUACAUGAAUGUGUCUUCAGCAGAAGCAGAGACAUUGAAAGUGGAUGAGAGCAGAAAAAUAUGAUUUACCCUUGUCUCUCACUACAAUUAUCAAAAGGAAAAAAAGGUGGCAAGUACUGGAUGAUCAUAUAUCUGGCUGCUUGGGUAAACACCAUGGCUAUCUAUGUGAAAGAUUCCAUUUCUGUUCAGAGCAAGCUGCUUUUGAUUAUAGACAGCCAAUAGCUGCUUGCUGCUAUCAUUUUCUGAUAUGUUGUGUCAAAUUCUCCAAGUGCAAUGCUAAAUGCUUGAAUUUAAAUAGUUUUUCUUGGCUUUUUUGGACAAACAUGAUAUUCACACUCUGAUUAUUAUAGCUGUCACCCUUAGGAAAAUAUUCAACUUGCAUCACAGACAGAAUCUUACGGAAUUUGCCAAAUUCAAUCUUCAAAGAACUACUGACAGUGUUAUAUGGAACCCCAACUGAUCAUUCCAGGAAACUUACCAUCAUUCCAAAACUGUGACAACAUUGCAGAAAUGUGCAAACAGAUUAUAAGAUUCAGAGAAAAAGGGAU